CCAACCGGGAUUGCCUCAGUAACGGCGAGUGAAGCGGCAAGAGCUCAAAUUUGAAAUCUGGCCCCCUCGGGGUCCGAGUUGUAAUUUGCAGAGGAUGCUUCGGGUGCGGCCCCCGUCUAAGUGCCCUGGAACGGGCCGUCAUAGAGGGUGAGAAUCCCGUCUGGGACGGGGUGUCCGCGUCCGUGUGAAGCUCCUUCGACGAGUCGAGUUGUUUGGGAAUGCAGCUCUAAAUGGGUGGUAAAUUUCAUCUAAAGCUAAAUACUGGCCGGAGACCGAUAGCGCACAAGUAGAGUGAUCGAAAGAUGAAAAGCACUUUGAAAAGAGAGUUAAAAAGCACGUGAAAUUGUUGAAAGGGAAGCGCUUGCGACCAGACUCGCCCGCGGGGUUCAGCCGGCAUUCGUGCCGGUGUACUUCCCCGUGGGCGGGCCAGCGUCGGUUUGGGCGGCCGGUCAAAGGCCUCCGGAAUGUAGCACCCUUCGGGGUGCCUUAUAGCCGGGGGUGCAAUGCGGCCAGCCUGGACCGAGGAACGCGCUUCGGCACGGACGCUGGCAUAAUGGUCGUAAACGACCCGUCUUGAAAC
RNAcentral lists this ribosomal RNA (580 nucleotides) under Aspergillus sp. 38.1. RNAcentral's name for it is "eukaryotic LSU rRNA". It matches the Rfam family "Eukaryotic large subunit ribosomal RNA", at positions 65 to 660 of the family's 3401-position model. The record is from RNAcentral. Lineage: Eukaryota; Fungi; Ascomycota; Eurotiomycetes; Eurotiales; Aspergillaceae.